RNAcentral lists this ribosomal RNA (771 nucleotides) under uncultured bacterium. Its description in RNAcentral is "bacterial SSU rRNA". It matches the Rfam family "Bacterial small subunit ribosomal RNA", at positions 28 to 791 of the family's 1533-position model. The record is from RNAcentral.
AGUGAACGCUGGCGGCAGGCCUAACACAUGCAAGUCGAGCGGCAGCGCGGGGGCAACCCUGGCGGCGAGCGGCGGACGGGUGAGGAAUACAUCGGAAUCUACCCAGUCGUGGGGGAUAACGUAGGGAAACUUACGCUAAUACCGCAUACGACCUGAGGGUGAAAGCAGGGGACCGCAAGGCCUUGCGCGAUUGGAUGAGCCGAUGUCCGAUUAGCUAGUUGGUGAGGUAAAGGCUCACCAAGGCGACGAUCGGUAGCUGGUCUGAGAGGAUGAUCAGCCACACUGGAACUGAGACACGGUCCAGACUCCUACGGGAGGCAGCAGUGGGGAAUAUUGGACAAUGGGCGCAAGCCUGAUCCAGCCAAUGCCGCGUGUGUGAAGAAGGCCUCGGGUUGUAAAGCACUUUGUCCGGAAAGAAAUCCUGUCGGUUAAUACCUGGCGGGGAUGACGGUACCGGAAGAAUAAGCACCGGCUAACUUCGUGCCAGCAGCCGCGGUAAUACGAAGGGUGCAAGCGUUACUCGGAAUUACUGGGCGUAAAGCGUGCGUAGGCGGUUCGUUAAGUCAGAUGUGAAAGCCCCGGGCUCAACCUGGGAAUUGCAUUUGAUACUGGCGGGCUAGAGUACGGUAGAGGGUGGUGGAAUUCCCGGUGUAGCAGUGAAAUGCGUAGAGAUCGGGAGGAACAUCUGUGGCGAAGGCGGCCACCUGGACCAGUACUGACGCUGAGGCACGAAAAGCGUGGGGGAGCAAAACAGGAUUAGAUACCCCCGGG